Molecule: long non-coding RNA, 1025 nt
Filed under: Marmota monax (woodchuck)
Lineage: Eukaryota; Metazoa; Chordata; Mammalia; Rodentia; Sciuridae
Source: RNAcentral
ACAUUUUCUAUGAAAUUUUUAGAAAUUGUUAUUCAGUUCUCCAAAGUGAAAAUUGUGGAAUGAGACAGUGUGCUUAUCUUCAUCCACAAGAAUUGCUGGUUUAAGAACUAAGAGUGUUUCCUUUCUGAAGUGAGAACUUAGCCUGUAUCUGUCUAGAUCCCAGCCAUGCACAAAAACGCCUUGAAUUAUUGAUUGAGAACGUGGUUUUCAGGGUGCUGACAGCCCAUUAAUGUGGAAUUGCUGGUGUUACCAUAUCCCUUGCUUCUGCUAGAAGCUGAGAAGAGUUGAGAUGUGUUUAAUGAAAGAACUUUUUUUCCAUAUCCCCAAUUUGAUAAUGUCCCUAAAGAGACCCCCUUUAGUCAGGGGUGAGGGUUGUUAGGUUUCCCUACACCUUUUGCUUCAAACUUUAAAGUCAUAAAUUGGAUUUGGAGCUAGGUGUAUACUAAACAGUAAAUUUGAAUUCAUUUUAAACACUCAGACUUCAAGGAAAAGCCUAAAUAAAGGUUUAAAGGGGAAUGGGAAGUGAUAGCAAUGUAAAGUUCAGAUAGUUUUCAGUUGUGCUGUAAAGUCAAGAACAACGUCCAGUUACAACUCUAGUCAAAUAUGGCCUUGGAACUUUACCUUAUUAUUCAUGCAAAUGUUCAGAUUGUUGGCAAAAAAGUAAAAGUGGGAAAUUGGUCAUAAUGAAUUUAUUUCUCUCAAGUUUUAUCUUCCCUUUUCAAAAUGAGAUAAUUAUCCCAUUAUUAUAGAAUACUCAUUUCAUGAUUCUGACCCAUUUCAGCCAACUAUUUUCAAAUAGAUGGGACAUUUCCAUAUUGGAUUUUGGUAUAAGACUCAUAUUAAUUAGUGUCUUAUAAGACUCAUAUUAAUUAGUGAUCUCUGCUGUGGUUGCUCAAUGUACAACAAACACAUACCAUCUCUCUGAUACCAAAACUAUAUGAAAACAGUCCAGUGGACAUUUAAAAAUUUCUCAAAUCUGCCUAUUAUCAAACAACUGCAGGAAUGGAAUGGAUUCAACAAUUAUU